CCUACGGGAGGCAGCAGUAAGGAAUAUUGGUCAAUGGACGAAAGUCUGAACCAGCCAUGCCGCGUGAAGGAUGAAGGCCCUCUGGGUUGUAAACUUCUUUUAUCUGGGACGAAAAAAGGGCUUUCUAGCUCACUUGACGGUACCAGAGGAAUAAGCACCGGCUAACUCCGUGCCAGCAGCCGCGGUAAUACGGAGGGUGCAAGCGUUAUCCGGAUUCACUGGGUUUAAAGGGUGCGUAGGUGGGUCUGUAAGUCAGUGGUGAAAUCUCCGAGCUUAACUCGGAAACUGCCAUUGAUACUAUAGGUCUUGAAUCAUCUGGAGGUAAGCGGAAUAUGUCAUGUAGCGGUGAAAUGCUUAGAUAUGACAUAGAACACCAAUUGCGAAGGCAGCUUACUACGGGUGCAUUGACACUGAGGCACGAAAGCGUGGGGAUCAAACAGGAUUAGAUACCCUGGUAGUCCACGCCCUAAACGAUGGAUACUCGACAUCAGCGAUACACUGUUGGUGUCUGAGCGAAAGCAUUAAGUAUCCCACCUGGGAAGUACGACCGCAAGGUUGAAACGUCAAAUGAAUUGACGG
This 579-nucleotide ribosomal RNA is filed under the name uncultured bacterium. RNAcentral describes it as "bacterial SSU rRNA". It matches the Rfam family "Bacterial small subunit ribosomal RNA", at positions 338 to 916 of the family's 1533-position model. The record is from RNAcentral.